AUAUCAAUAAGCGGAGGAAAAGAAACCAACAGGGAUUGCCUCAGUAACGGCGAGCGAAGCGGCAAGAGCUCAGAUUUGAAAUCUGGCCCCUUGGGGGUCCGAGUUGUAAUCUGUAGGGGAUGCUUCGGAGCCAUACCCGGCCUAAGUUCCUUGGAACAGGACGUCGCAGAGGGUGAGAAUCCCGUAUGCGGCCGGCGGACGGUUCCGUGUGAAGCUCCUCCGACGAGUCGAGUUGUUUGGGAAUGCAGCUCUAAAUGGGAGGUAAAUUUCUUCUAAAGCUAAAUACCGGCCAGAGACCGAUAGCGCACAAGUAGAGUGAUCGAAAGAUGAAAAGCACUUUGGAAAGAGAGUUAAAAAGUACGUGAAAUUGUUGAAAGGGAAGCGCUUGCGACCAGACUCGACCGUUGCGGAUCAACCCUCCCCGCGGAGGGCUCACUCCGCCUCGGUCGGGCCAGCAUCGGUUCCAGCGGUCGGAUAAAGGCGUCGGGAAUGUGGCUCCUCUCGGGGAGUGUUAUAGCCCGUCGUGCAAUACGACCCGCCGGGACCGAGGACCGCGCUUAGGCAAGGAUGCUGGCGUAAUGGUCGUAAGCGC
This 592-nucleotide ribosomal RNA is filed under the name Jahnula rostrata. RNAcentral's name for it is "eukaryotic LSU rRNA". It matches the Rfam family "Eukaryotic large subunit ribosomal RNA", at positions 40 to 647 of the family's 3401-position model. Lineage: Eukaryota; Fungi; Ascomycota; Dothideomycetes; Jahnulales; Aliquandostipitaceae. The record is from RNAcentral.